RNAcentral lists this ribosomal RNA (554 nucleotides) under Microbacterium sp. RNAcentral describes it as "bacterial SSU rRNA". It matches the Rfam family "Bacterial small subunit ribosomal RNA", at positions 143 to 711 of the family's 1533-position model. The record is from RNAcentral. Lineage: Bacteria; Bacillati; Actinomycetota; Actinomycetes; Micrococcales; Microbacteriaceae.
AUAAGCGCUGGANACGGCGUCUAAUACCGGAUAUGAGCUACGGCCGCAUGGUCGGUAGUUGGAAAGAAUUUCGGUCAGGGAUGAGCUCGCGGCCUAUCAGCUUGUUGGUGAGGUAAUGGCUCACCAAGGCGUCGACGGGUAGCCGGCCUGAGAGGGUGACCGGCCACACUGGGACUGAGACACGGCCCAGACUCCUACGGGAGGCAGCAGUGGGGAAUAUUGCACAAUGGGCGCAAGCCUGAUGCAGCAACGCCGCGUGAGGGAUGACGGCCUUCGGGUUGUAAACCUCUUUUAGCGAGGAAGAAGCGAAAGUGACGGUACUCGCAGAAAAAGCGCCGGCUAACUACGUGCCAGCAGCCGCGGUAAUACGUAGGGCGCAAGCGUUAUCCGGAAUUAUUGGGCGUAAAGAGCUCGUAGGCGGUUUGUCGCGUCUGCUGUGAAAACUGGAGGCUCAACCUCCAGCCUGCAGUGGGUACGGGCAGACUAGAGUGCGGUAGGGGAGAUUGGAAUUCCUGGUGUAGCGGUGGAAUGCGCAGAUAUCAGGAGGAACACCG